UGCAAGGUGGCCGAGUGUUAAGGUGUUGGUUUGUAAAACCAGUUAUAAGGGUUCAAUUCCCUUUCUUGUGG
Molecule: transfer RNA, 71 nt
Filed under: Ophiactis savignyi
Lineage: Eukaryota; Metazoa; Echinodermata; Ophiuroidea; Amphilepidida; Ophiactidae
Description: tRNA-Tyr
Rfam family: tRNA
About the family: Transfer RNA (tRNA) molecules are approximately 80 nucleotides in length. Their secondary structure includes four short double-helical elements and three loops (D, anti-codon, and T loops).
Source: RNAcentral